CGGAAGCCAAAGCAUAAGCGUCCAAUCUAAACGUCCAUGGUGCGACUGAAUCCCUCCUCUUAAUAGUUGACCGCCCCGUCUCCUAUUCCCCAUCUCUCCCCAACCGACACAAAUGCCACCCUGCAAGGGACGUAACAGAACCCAGCCCCUCAUCUAGGGUUUGUGGCCGCCGGCGAUGGCGGGGAAAGGGAAGGAUCUGGAGGAUGGGUGGAACUUCGUGCAGAAGGGCAUCAAAAAGCUCAUCAACAUCCUUGAGGGCAAGCCGGAAUCACAGUUCAGCUUCGAGUACGUCUACGUGAUGUUCUACACGUGAUUAAAGUGGGGCAAAACCAAACCAACUCAUGCAUUAAUUCUAAUUACCUCAGCUUGGUCCGGAAGGAGCAUCAGGCGAAAGAUUUUCUGAGUAUGAUUCCUAUUCAUUUCAAUGAUCUACAUGGGAAGCGCAAGUCUAGCUGCGAUGAUACAAAUCCGCUCGGCAAACAAAUAAAAGCAUUUGGCAGAAGAAGCGAUGACCAAGCAAGAGCAAGUCAUGACAAUUACUGGUCUUUUGUUCACCAAUCAGCUGUUAUGUUUCAUAAACAUGUUCAUAAUGCUAAUGUAAAAUGGUUAUUGAAUGUACUAUAUAUAAAUAGAAUGAAUUUAGGGCCGGAGUUGUUGUUCUAGAAAGGCAGAGUUGAAACACAAAGAAGGCCAGGCAAAGCAUAUGGGAGGAUGCAAGUGUUUCAAUCAGGAAUGAUAAUAUGUGGUAUGCUUU
Triticum aestivum (bread wheat) is the source of this 754-nucleotide RNA transcript. RefSeq lists it as uncharacterized. NCBI's taxonomy places the organism in Eukaryota, Viridiplantae, Streptophyta, Magnoliopsida, Poales, Poaceae. The transcript is spliced from 2 exons. The record is from RefSeq and is a predicted model, not a curated record.